Long non-coding RNA from Physella acuta, 476 nucleotides. RefSeq lists it as uncharacterized. The record is from RefSeq and is a predicted model, not a curated record. Lineage: Eukaryota; Metazoa; Mollusca; Gastropoda; Physidae.
CUUGCACUGACGACACAGCAUCGUUUUUUUUUUUUUUGUUUUUUUUUUAAUUUGCAUUAAUUUGACAUUACAGUAAGACUAAGGGGGACGACCUAGCGGUAGAGAGCUAGACUGCUAACCGUAAGUCUCGAGUUCGAAUCCGGGUUCAAGUCAGUAGACCGUCCCUGAGUCCACCCAGCUCUGAUGAGUACCUAACUCACGUUAGGCUGGGCCUAGUGUUAACCACACCAUACAGAGGUCACAGACAUAGAUCAUGUUAGACAAAUUAACUAAUAAAGAAAGUCUUUCUGUAUUACUUUUUUGUAUAAGAAGUAUAGAGGAAGUAUUGUAAUCGUGCAAAAAACUGAAAUCAAGAUUUUGACAAAUCUCAACGCUUUACUGCACACCUCCCAGAGUCGGAAAAACUAUUUGAAAUUGUGUGUGUAUGUCAGUCUGUCAACACGAUAACUUAACGUUUCAGUUAUGUUGAAGAAAAU